AGGCCUUGACCGGCAUCUGUUGUUGAGCCAAAGAAGAAGAAGAAUAAACUCCGAAAAUGAACCAAAACAACAUGCCGCAGUCCGGUAGAGGUAAGAAGAUUCCUGCAUCUGGAAAAAAGAUCCCGCAGUAUUUUGGAGCAGGAAAAUGAAGAACCUGGAACUAAAAAAAAGAUAAGAUUGCAAUGCAUUGUUUACAUGUUCGAUUGUUAAAUGUAUGCAAUUAUUUUCAGCGUGCAAUAUAGUCCAACCGAAGUCAAUCCGACAAAUUAGUGCAAAUUUUAAAACCGUCAUCAAACCGUCAAAGACAAAAACGGAAACCAUAGUCUCCAUGACAGGGUAUUCUUCAGUAUUUGCCACGUUCUAGAUGCAAUUCAUUAGAUGAGCACAACAAUAUUAACAUCACAAAUAACAUCACUUCUCGCCAGCCAAUUGCUAUUUAUGGCACGGAUAACGAUUCUCCAAACCUUCCAACCGUUCAAAACCGCUUUGUACCCAAAAUGUGGCUUCAUUUAGCUAACAUUGCUCCUGGCACUUCCUGUGAACAAGUCGUGGAAUCUGUGAAACGACGGCUGGCCACAACCGACGUCAUUGCAUUUAGCUUGAUGGGCAAAAAUGUCGACACUACUUUGGCUAGACCGAUGUCGUUUAAGGUUCAACAAGAUCCAACAACAAAUGUUUCCACAUCAAAUGUCUCCAUGACAGGGUAUUCUUCAGUAUUUGCCACGUUCUAGAUGCAAUUCAUUAGAUGAUUAUCUUUACAACCAAUCAUUCGAAGAAACCCUAUCCAUACCGAUAUCGACACCCGCACCAAAUGACAAUAGUAGUAAUGACAAUACCUACAACAACCUCAACUACGACUGCACCUACAUCAGCAAAUCAGAAAAUCAAAAAACAAAUUCAACAUUAGAGCGCAAAUUGGAUAUUUUAAAUACCAAAUUAGAUUAGGGUAAAUGUACCAGUAUUGGGCAGGUUAGUGCAGGAGUUUCGCAAAAACUGCUUGUACACUUACAAUUUUUAUUACUUUUCAUGAAAGUGACGUUAUUUUGAACGAUUAACUAUCGAAUUAUGUUGUGCUAUUUUUUAUUUGCCGUUUCAAAUGCAUUUUCUAGGGAUAUUCAUGAA
Anopheles merus is the source of this 1122-nucleotide long non-coding RNA. RefSeq lists it as uncharacterized. The record is from RefSeq and is a predicted model, not a curated record. The transcript is spliced from 4 exons. Lineage: Eukaryota; Metazoa; Arthropoda; Insecta; Diptera; Culicidae.